AACGAACGCUGGCGGCAUGCCUAACACAUGCAAGUCGAACGAGACCUUCGGGUCUAGUGGCGCCCGGGUGCGUAACGCGUGGGGACCUGCCCUUAGGUUCGGCAUAACUCCCCGAAAGGGGUGCUAAUACCGGAUAAUGUCUUCGGACCAAAGAUUUAUCGCCUUUGGAUGGGCCCACGUUGGAUUCGCUAGUUGGUAGGGUAAAAGCAUACCACGGCGACGAUCCAUAGCUGGUCAGUGAGGAUGGUCAGCCACACUGGGAGUGAGACACGGCCCAGACUCCUACGGGAGGCGGGAGAGGGGAAUAGAGGACCGUGGGCGAAAUGCUGAUACAGCAAGGCCGGGAGAGUGAUGUAGGCCUUGGAGUCGUAAUGCGCUAUUAACCGGGAUGAUAAUGACGGUACCUAGAGAAAAAGCUCCGGCUAACUACGUG
This 433-nucleotide ribosomal RNA is filed under the name uncultured bacterium. RNAcentral's name for it is "partial 16S ribosomal RNA". It matches the Rfam family "Bacterial small subunit ribosomal RNA", at positions 29 to 507 of the family's 1533-position model. The record is from RNAcentral.